UUGUCUUUCUCAAUAGAAGAAAGUAAAGAGUAGAGAAAUUGAUAAGAAAGUUGAGUUGUUUUACCAUAAAAUGCAUUAUUUAUAUAGGGCUGGCAAAUAGUCGUUUGAUCGAGCCUAUACAACAGCUACUUUCUAACGAUCACAAAUGGACCUUAUGAUGCGUGACGCAUCCUAGGACGAGCAAAUUAAUUAUCUACGUAAUUUUCUAAUUAAUCUUGCCUAAAUUUUUUUUCCAAGUUUUCCCUCACAAAGAUUCACUUCAUAGCCUUUUAGUACAAAACCAGUAGCUAAAGAAGAAAAAGAAAGGUGAACCCAAGGCCAGGUUCUAUAACCCACUUGCUGUUGCUGGAGGCUAUUCAGGUUCUAUAACCCACUUGCUGUUGCUAGGGUGGCUGUUGUUGAUAAUUGGCGUAGCCAGCAGGAUAGCCUCCAUAGUACAUGUUCGGGUCCUGCGCCGGUGGAGCUUGCGCAUACCCGUAGUUCUCGUAACCUUGUGUAUACCCAUAGUACCCGGCACCACCGGC
Molecule: long non-coding RNA, 524 nt
Filed under: Linum usitatissimum (flax)
Lineage: Eukaryota; Viridiplantae; Streptophyta; Magnoliopsida; Malpighiales; Linaceae
Description: long non-coding RNA (LUSI_LNC004343)
Source: RNAcentral